GACGAACGCUGGCGGCGUGCUUAAUACAUGCAAGUCAACUUGACUUUAGAUAGCAAUAUCGAAAAGUAGGGUGGCGCACGGGUGCGUAACGCGUAGGUAAUCUGCCCUGAGGUCUGACAUAACCCGUCGAAAGGCGGGCUAACAUCAGAUGAUAUAUAAUCACGACAUCGUGGAAAUAUCAAAUCUUCGGAGCCUUGGGAUGAGCCUGCGUCUGAUUAGGUAGUUGGCGGAGUAAUAGCCCACCAAGCCUACGAUCAGUAGCUGGUCUGAGAGGAUGAUCAGCCACACUGGAACUGAGACACGGUCCAGACUCCUACGGGAGGCAGCAGUAAGGAAUAUUGCUCAAUGGGGGAAACCCUGAAGCAGCAACGCCGCGUGAAGGAUGAAAUACUUUCGUAUGUAAACUU
RNAcentral lists this ribosomal RNA (407 nucleotides) under uncultured bacterium. RNAcentral describes it as "bacterial SSU rRNA". It matches the Rfam family "Bacterial small subunit ribosomal RNA", at positions 28 to 432 of the family's 1533-position model. The record is from RNAcentral.